Non-coding RNA from Zootermopsis nevadensis, 2504 nucleotides. The record is from RefSeq and is a predicted model, not a curated record. Lineage: Eukaryota; Metazoa; Arthropoda; Insecta; Blattodea; Termopsidae.
CUUUCGAAUGUCGUCAUAUCAGGGACAUGUGUCUCGUGUAUAAGCAGCUUGCAGAUUCUCUUAAAGCAAUGUACCUCGUAUAGUGAAUCAGUGAUAAAUGUGGUAUGUGCGAAAAUGUGCUUUGUAAGUUGGAAACCGAAUGCAGAAUUCUUAUAUGCGGAAAAAUGAACUGGAGGUGCAUUAACACGGUCUCGAUGAGGAAUUUUGUUUCUCUGUAUUUGCCGUUUCGGAGGCUGGCAUACAACAGUGAGGGGUGCAUUGAUCCUCAAGUUUGUUCCAACUCACAUGGCGUGAAGCUGUCGACCGAAACCAAACGACGCGGCGGUUAAGGUGUGAAGAAACUUGGACGGUGUUCAGAUCAUGAAACGUUUGUAUUUUUAGAGUUUAUCUAAGGCGGGUAUAAAUUUAGUUCGUCGGAAAUGACUUUUGUAAGGAAUUGUGAGGCAGUAAGGUGAACGUUGGCUUAAUGAAUGCUUUGCGAACAGACUGCGAAGUAGUACUUAAUUUUAACACUAGUGAUUUUUAUAAAUCGGUGAUAUGUUUACGGACUUCGUCAUGAACAUCGCUGAUAAUUUUGUUGUCCUGUUACAAGGAUUUAACCCUUUCUUUGGAUGUUGUGAUAUCACGUUCCCUGCAAUUUUUUUUUGCAUUCUGUUUGUGUCGACCAACUUCAGGAUUCUGUUUUCGGUAUCGUUUCUGAAUGUUCUUUUGGUAGUUUUUCCCAUUUGCUUUUUUCUGACGUCUUUAUUGUCUGUUUGUUUAUCACUCGCCAUUCUGUACAUUGAGGUCUCUCUGAGGGAACUCAUUUCUCCCCACUCCAUUCUUGUUUCGUCUUUUGUCGACACCCAUUGGCUUCAUAUAGGACCUAAAAACAUUUGCGUUGCUACUAUUCUAUAAGAUUUUAGUAAUCAUUGUUUUUGAUAUAUCCCUAGCUUCUUUCUUAUGACUGUCGAACUCUAGGACAUCAUUUUCCUCUCUCUCUCAGAGUGACCCCACAUCUUAAAUAAGUUAUAAAUUACAAAUUUUAAAGUGUUUUAUUAUCUGGAUCAGUGUCUGCUCUUGUACGCAUAUAUUCUUUUCACAUAAAUGCAGUUAUUUUUGAUUUAAGAUGGAAUUUACAUGUCGAACUAAUUAUAUUAGCGUGUGUAAUGUGGAAAUGACUCUCUAGAGAUCAUCUUUCAUGCAGGUCACAGAUCUGAUCUUAAAGGCAAAAGAAUAUUUAUGUGAAUCGGAAUCAUUGAGUCCGAAGAUGACUGUCUUUUGGGUUGUUGCGCCUUGUAAUCAGGUACAAGUUUACCGACGUUUCAGAGGUCCUUGCUACCCCCAUCAUCGCCCUUAUUGCACUGCGCAGCAACCUAGAAGACUUGAAAUCUCACGUCUUUGAAGUUAAUUGCUUUUGAUUUUUCUCUCUCAAAAAAACAUCACGCUUGUAUUGAACAGAUUAAUAACAUUCAAGCCCGACGCCUUGAUGUAUUAUUGAUUGGUGUUUGAUAUAUUAUUUUAUUCACACUGUACCUCCAUUUUAAAUUAUUAUUUAAGUAUAUAUUUAUCCAUAUUGUACUGCUCUUAUUACGUUUACUGGGAUUUUUUUUUUGAUUAUGCGUGUUUAAAACCUUUUCGUAGUUUGCAAAUGCAAUGCAUGUUGGGAGUUCUCAACUUUUCCACCACGUGUACCAUUUAAAAUAGGCCAAACGAUGCGAAUGUAGGAUAAUAAAUAAAAGUUUUCCCCAUUUAUAUACUUCGAAAAUAAAGUUGUGUUGUUCGAUAGAAAAUGUGCCUACAAUGAAACCGCACCUGCUUACCUGACUGUGGUGAAAUUGUCCUUUGUCCUUUAUCGAGCCCCACCGAUGCGGACGUAGCCUGUUAGGGAGGGAAUGGUUUGGGCCCAUAGCUCAAUGCGCACACCACGAAUUGCGUUAUUUUGUGCUCCAUUGUUUCAUUGUUUGUCGUCUUGCCCCACGUGCCCUUUCUCAUUUAACCAAAACUUUUAUUUAUUUAUAAAUCCAGACUGUUGAAAUAAAUUGCUCAACUGUUGUGGCGAAUCUGUGCGUUGCACGUCCGUUAGAAGUAAACGGCAUGGGAAUCAGAGGGGCGUGGAGGGGUAACAGAUAAAUAAGCAGCAUUCUGUUCAAGCAUGUACCAUCGGUAGCGCCUGUGACCAGGCCUGACCUGAAGCCACUCGCUUUCUUACGAUAUACUCUGCCAAGAGUCCUGAAGAAUUGAAUGACGCUGUAGAUCAUUUCGUCACACUCCUGUUUUACAUGAGAAGGCACGCCGUUUGAGUAACUGCCUCGGCGAAGAUAAUAUUUCUGGACAAUGAUUGGGAAAAAAAUGCUAAUCAACCUGACAUCCUCGUACCACUAACAGUGGUAAAAGUAGGCUACUUCCUGUUUCACAAAUAUUUCGCCACACAGAUACUUAGGUGUUAUUUGUAAUGUGAAGGACGUUUACGGAGUAGGAUUUGAGAUUGUCACGACGGGAUGGACGCAGGAAGGACCUCUAAA